This 72-nucleotide transfer RNA is filed under the name Pitohui uropygialis meridionalis. RNAcentral describes it as "tRNA-Lys". Lineage: Eukaryota; Metazoa; Chordata; Aves; Passeriformes. The record is from RNAcentral.
UCAUUAAGAAGCUAUGAACCAGCGCUAGCCUUUUAAGCUAGAGAAAGAGGAGCACAUCCCCUCCUUAAUGAU